UCGGGUUGUAAACUGCUUUUGUACGGAACGAAAAGGUUUGGCCUAAUAAGCUGAGCUCAUGACGGUACCGUAAGAAUAAGCACCGGCUAACUACGUGCCAGCAGCCGCGGUAAUACGUAGGGUGCGAGCGUUAAUCGGAAUUACUGGGCGUAAAGCGUGCGCAGGCGGUUAUGUAAGACAGAUGUGAAAUCCCCGGGCUCAACCUGGGAACUGCAUUAGUGACUGCAUAGCUGGAGUACGGCAGAGGGGGAUGGAAUUCCGCGUGUAGCAGUGAAAUGCGUAGAUAUGCGGAGGAACACCGAUGGCGAAGGCAAUCCCCUGGGCCUGUACUGACGCUCAUGCACGAAAGCGUGGGGAGCAAACAGGAUUAGAUACCCUGGUAGUCCACGCCCUAAACGAUGUCAACUGGUUGUUGGGUCUUCACUGACUCAGUAACGAAGCU
RNAcentral lists this ribosomal RNA (442 nucleotides) under uncultured beta proteobacterium. RNAcentral's name for it is "bacterial SSU rRNA". It matches the Rfam family "Bacterial small subunit ribosomal RNA", at positions 418 to 853 of the family's 1533-position model. The record is from RNAcentral. Lineage: Bacteria; Pseudomonadati; Pseudomonadota; Betaproteobacteria.